Betta splendens (Siamese fighting fish) is the source of this 459-nucleotide long non-coding RNA. RefSeq lists it as uncharacterized. The transcript has 3 exons. Lineage: Eukaryota; Metazoa; Chordata; Actinopteri; Anabantiformes; Osphronemidae. The record is from RefSeq and is a predicted model, not a curated record.
CUCCUGGAUAACCUGACCAAUGGAUGCCUGGUUCUGUGCUCGGAUGAAGCACUGCCUCUUGCACUCCAUCAGCUGCUCCAGGUCCCGCCACAUCUUCAUCUGCUCCAUGUUGGCACUGUGAUUCUCACGAACCAUCUUCUGCCUCUCACGUAAUUUCUGGAAUUCACAUAGAAGUAAAAUUGGGUAGCGUACUUGUCUACCCGAUCUGUGCCCAGACUACAUUCUCGACAGACCAUGACCAAGUACUGACCCAUUGCAUCUGCUAAAUGCAGCCUGAAGAACAGUCACAAGAACAGUGACAACUAUGUGUUCUGCAACUGAAACUAAUGUGGCAGGAGCUCAACUGACUGUGCUGUAAUAAUAGCUUGCAGAGGUAAAAAUGCUAUUCAUCUAUGCAAGCAGCUGGCUGGCCUGGAUCAGUACGCUUACCUGAUGGCCUUCUUCCUCUCUUGUGGAUCA